This 220-nucleotide long non-coding RNA is filed under the name Zostera marina. RNAcentral's name for it is "long non-coding RNA (ZMAR_LNC005342)". Lineage: Eukaryota; Viridiplantae; Streptophyta; Magnoliopsida; Alismatales; Zosteraceae. The record is from RNAcentral.
UUCGUGUUCAACCUCUUGUUGCUGAUUGUAUUGGUAGUAGAAAUAGAUUCCUCUGCCUUCCUUGUUUUCACCAUCCUCAACGUCCAUGGACACCACCGGGUUUUGGUUUGGUUGACGGAGGUUUUGGGUCGACGAUGAUGAGAUUCCGCUGACUCCUUCUUCGUUCAGGAUCGCACUUGUGUCACUGUCUGAAGAACCAUCUUUGUAUAUCAGUGGCGGG